AACGAACGCUGGCGGCAUGCCUAACACAUGCAAGUCGAACGAGACCUUCGGGUCUAGUGGCGCACGGGUGCGUAACGCCUGGGAACCUGCCCUUAGGUUCGGAAUAACUCCCCGAAGGGGGUGCUAAUACCGGUUAAUCUCUUCGGACCUAAGAUUUAUCGCCUUUGGAUGGGCCCGCGUUGGAUUAGCUAGUUGGUAGGGUAAUAGCCUACCAAGGCGACGAUCCAUAGCUGGUAUGUGAGGAUGAUCAGCCACGCUGGCACUGAGACACGGACCAGACUGCUACGGGAGGCAGCAGUAGGGAAUAUUGGAGGAUGGGCGAAAGCGUAGUAAAGCAAUGCCGCGUGAGAGAUGAAGGCGGUAGGGUUGUAAAGCUGUUUUAGACGGGAUGAGAAUGACAGUACCGGGAGAAGAAGCUCCGGCUAACUACGUG
This 433-nucleotide ribosomal RNA is filed under the name uncultured bacterium. RNAcentral describes it as "partial 16S ribosomal RNA". It matches the Rfam family "Bacterial small subunit ribosomal RNA", at positions 29 to 507 of the family's 1533-position model. The record is from RNAcentral.